AGUUUGAUUAUGGCUCAGAUUGAACGCUGGCGGGAUGCUUUACACAUGCAAGUCGAACGGCAGCACGGACUUCGGUCUGGUGGCGAGUGGCGAACGGGUGAGUAAUGUAUCGGAACGUGCCUAGUAGCGGGGAUAACUACGCGAAAGCGUAGCUAAUACCGCAUACGCCCUUCGGGAAAGCGGGGACCUUCGGGCCUCGCACUAUUAGAGCGGCCGAUAUCGGAUUAGCUAGUUGGUGGGGUAACGGCUCACCAAGGCGACGAUCCGUAGCUGGUUUGAGAGGACGACCAGCCACACUGGGACUGAGACACGGCCCAGACUCCUACGGAGGCAGCAGUGGGGAAUUUUGGACAAUGGGGGGAAACCCUGAUCCAGCCAUCCCGCGUGCGAUGAAGGCCUUCGGGUUGUAAAGCACUUUUGGCAGGAAAGAAACGGCACGGGAUAAUACCCCGUGCAACUGACGGUACCCGCAGAAUAAGCACCGGCUAACUACGCCAGCAGCCGCGGUAAUACGUAGGGUGCAAGCGUUAAUCGGAAUUACUGGGCGUAAAGCGUGCGCAGGCGGUUCGGAAAGAAAGAUGUGAAAUCCCAGAGCUUAACUUCUUUGGAACUGCAUUUUUAACUGAGCUAGAGCAGGUCAGAGGGAGGUGGAAUUCGCGUGUAGCAGUGAAAUGCGUAGAUAUGCGGAGGAACACCGAUGCAGAAGGCAGCCUCCUGGGAUAACACUGACGCUCAUGCACGAAAGCGUGGGGAGCAAACAGGAUUAGAUACCCUGGUGGUCCACGCCCUAAACGAUGUCAACUAGCUGUUGGGGCCUUCGGGCCUUGGUAGCGCAGCUAACGGGUGAAGUUGACCGCCUGGGAGUACGGUCGCAAGAUUAAACCAAAGGAAUUGACGGGGACCCGCACAAGCGGUGGAUGAUGUGGAUUAAUCUGGAUGCAACGCGAAAACCUUACCUACCUUGACAUGUCUGGAAUCCCGAAGAGAUUUAAAUGUCACAAGAGAACCGGAACACAGGUGCUGCAUGGCUGUCGUCAGCUCGUGUCGUGAGAUGUUGGGUUAAGUCCCGCAACGAGCGGCAACCCUUGUCAUUAGUUGCUACGAAAGGGCACUCUAAUGAGACUGCCGGUGACAAACCGGAGGAAGGUGGGAUGACGUCAAGUCCUCAUGGCCCUUAUGGGUAGGGCUUCACACGUCAUACAAUGUCGGGACAGAGGGUCGCCAACCCGCGAGGGGGAGCUAAUCCCAGAAACCUGAUCGUAGUCCGAUCGCAGUCUGCAACUCGACUGCGUGAAGUCGGAAUCGCUAGUAAUCGCGGAUCAGCAUGUCGCGGUGAAUACGUUCCCGGGUCUUGUACACACCGCCCGUCACACCAUGGGAGUGGGUUUUACCAGAAGUAGUUAGCCUAACCGUAAGGAGGGCGAUUACCACGGUAGGAUUCAUGACUGGGGUGAAGUCGUAACAAGGU
Molecule: ribosomal RNA, 1468 nt
Filed under: uncultured Bordetella sp.
Lineage: Bacteria; Pseudomonadati; Pseudomonadota; Betaproteobacteria; Burkholderiales; Alcaligenaceae
Description: partial 16S-23S ribosomal RNA intergenic spacer
Rfam family: Bacterial small subunit ribosomal RNA
Source: RNAcentral